GAUGAGCGCUGGCGGCGUGCCUAAUACAUGCAAGUCGAGCGAGCAGAUAAGGAGCUUGCUCCUUUGACGUUAGCGGCGGACGGGUGAGUAACACGUGGGUAACCUACCUAUAAGACUGGGAUAACUUCGGGAAACCGGAGCUAAUACCGGAUAACAUUUGGAACCGCAUGGUUCUAAAGUGAAAGAUGGUUUUGCUAUCACUUAUAGAUGGACCCGCGCCGUAUUAGCUAGUUGGUAAGGUAACGGCUUACCAAGGCGACGAUACGUAGCCGACCUGAGAGGGUGAUCGGCCACACUGGAACUGAGACACGGUCCAGACUCCUACGGGAGGCAGCAGUAGGGAAUCUUCCGCAAUGGGCGAAAGCCUGACGGAGCAACGCCGCGUGAGUGAUGAAGGGUUUCGGCUCGUAAAACUCUGUUAUUAGGGAAGAACAAAUGUGUAAGUAACUGUGCACGUCUUGACGGUACCUAAUCAGAAAGCCACGGCUAACUACGUG
RNAcentral lists this ribosomal RNA (497 nucleotides) under uncultured bacterium. RNAcentral's name for it is "partial 16S ribosomal RNA". It matches the Rfam family "Bacterial small subunit ribosomal RNA", at positions 28 to 507 of the family's 1533-position model. The record is from RNAcentral.